AUGGCCGGCUGCGGAGGCAAGGAUGGCCUGUACGCCGUGCUCGGCGUCUCCAGCGACUGCUCCGACGCAGAGCUGCGCAGCGCCUACAGGAAGCUCUCCAUGAAAUGGCACCCGGACAAAUGCGGCUCCGGCGGCGUGGAGGCUCCGGCUAGCUGCGACAGACAAAUGAGGGUGCAGGAGACAUACUGGGAGACAUCCUGGAGGCCAUGA
Molecule: ribosomal RNA, 210 nt
Filed under: Triticum aestivum (bread wheat)
Lineage: Eukaryota; Viridiplantae; Streptophyta; Magnoliopsida; Poales; Poaceae
Description: partial small subunit ribosomal RNA
Source: RNAcentral